Non-coding RNA from Acanthosepion pharaonis, 113 nucleotides. The record is from the annotation of a GenBank genome assembly. Lineage: Eukaryota; Metazoa; Mollusca; Cephalopoda; Sepiida; Sepiidae.
UUACGGUCAUAUCACGUUGUAACACCGCUUCCCGUACGAUCACCGUAGUUAAGCAACGUAGAACCUGGUCACUCUCUUGAUGGGUGGCAGCUUGGAAAUACCAGGUACUGUAA